This 245-nucleotide ribosomal RNA is filed under the name uncultured bacterium. RNAcentral describes it as "partial 16S ribosomal RNA". It matches the Rfam family "Bacterial small subunit ribosomal RNA", at positions 15 to 239 of the family's 1533-position model. The record is from RNAcentral.
GAUCCUGGCUCAGGACGAACGCUGGCGGCGCGCCUAACACAUGCAAGUCGAACGGAGUUUAUCCGACUGAAGUUUUCGGAUGGAAGAUGGAUAAACUUAGUGGCGGACGGGUGAGUAACACGUGAGCAACCUGCCUUUCAGAGGGGGAUAACGAUUGGAAACGAUCGCUAAUACCGCAUAACAUUAUGAGGAGACAUCUUCUUAUAAUCAAAGGAGCAAUCCGCUGAAAGAUGGGCUCGCGGCCG